This is an RNA transcript of Mus musculus (house mouse), 2439 nucleotides long. It is a transcript of the gene named centromere protein L, with no coding region annotated. The record is from RefSeq and is marked validated. The transcript is spliced from 6 exons. NCBI's taxonomy places the organism in Eukaryota, Metazoa, Chordata, Mammalia, Rodentia, Muridae.
GAACAACGCGGCGCAAUAGGGGAUUGGGAAUUUGAGGCUAUUGAUUGAAGCCUUCCAAGCCUUGCCCUCAGUUAAAAUGACGACUUCAGUUGCUUUCAGUUACGUGAAAUCGGAGGGCCACAGGCGAGGCUUUCCGAGUCGGCCGCAGGGCAAGUCGGGAAAUGAUUUUAAACUGGAGGGCGUGGCGUGUGUGGAAAAGCGCCUAGACGAGCGGAACUUUCAAGUCUACCUUUGAUCCCCGGAGAGCUCCGGAGAAGGGUCUUUGGGGACUCCCUGUUUUUCGUGGGCCGGCGCCAGCUUCCGAAGAGCGAGGAUCAUAGAGCCGGGCAGCUUGGGAAGCCGAGCUGUCUCUCCCGGGGGAAGUCGCAGGUCUUGCUCGAGCCUGAGGGAAGCUAGGUUCACUCCAGGACUCCUGAUGUCUCUUCUGAACUCACCGGGGAUUGCUUCGGUUCUCUCUUAAGCAGUCAUUUUGGCCACUUUCUUCUUCUUAAAAAACCAAAACCUUUCGUCUCGACGUAGUCUUGGAGCAAAACUUGAAGGAUGAUUCGUGAAUCCGGAGUGGAUGACAGUGUCUUUACGACAUAGUUUUGACCAUGGAUUCCUGUGAUUUUCGAGGACUGACUUCUAGACGAAGGACCUCAAAUCUUAAGAACUACUUUGUAGGUGCCACCCCUCUGCAGAAACGACUGGAAUUGGUCAGGAGGCAGAAUUCAGAUUUUCCCAGUCCAUCUCGAAGGAAAAUUCCCCAGUGUUCACAGUUGCAGGAAGAUAUCGAUCCUCAGAAGGUUGCAUUUCUCCUCCACAAACAGUGGACUAUAUAUAGUUUAACUCCCUUGUAUAAAUUCUCCUAUUCUAAUCUCAAAGACUAUUCUAGACUUCUAAGUGCAUUUAUUGUUGCCGAAAAGCAAAAAGGAGUAGCUGUGGAAGUGGGAGAAGACUUCAACAUCAAAGUGAUUUUCUCCACUCUACUUGGAGUGAAAGGGACACAAAGGGACCAUGAAGCGUUUCUUGUCCAGGCUUACCUGCCCAGGGUAAGAGGGCUCUCCCACAUCAGUCAGUGAUCAAGAAAAUGUCCCACAGACCUGUCUGUGAGGGCAGUUGGGUAUAGAAAUUCCUCAAUUGAUGGUCUCUCUUCCUGGAUGACUGUAGCUGUGUUAAGAUUCUCUCAAAAUCUCAGUCAUCACGUGAACACAGAGAAGAUAAAGUGUUGUGGACUGGUUGGUUCUGUUGUGUGUUUGGAGAGAGUCUUCAGGAGACUGUCUCAGAAGACUUCACCUGUCUACCCUUAUUCCUUGCAAAUGGAGCGGAGUCCAAUACAUCUUUAAUCAGAGACUGGUUUCAGAAAACCUUUGACUGUUGCUUCAGUCCUUUAGCAAUCAGUGCGUUUAAUCUUUCCUGGAUGGCUGCUAUGUGGACAGCAUGCAAAAUGGACCGUUAUAUGGCUACUACUGAAUUUCUUUGGUCUGUGCCCUGUAGCCCACAGAGCUUAGAUAUUUCUUAUGCAAUACAUCCAGAAGAUGCAAAAGCUUUAUGGGAAAGUGUCCACAAAACCCCUGGGGAGGUUACCCAGGAGGAAGUUGACUUAUUUAUGAACUGCCUUUAUUCACAUUUCCAUAGGCAUUUCAAAAUUCACUUAGCAGCCACAAGAUUGGUUCGUGUCUCAACAUCUGUAGCUUCAGCACACACUGAUGGGAAAAUAAAGAUUCUGUGUCAUAAAUACCUUAUUGGUGUGUUGGCAUAUAUGACAGAACUGGCAAUUUUUCAAAUUGAAUGAAUUUUUGUAUGGACUAAGUGAUGCAUUAUAAACUGUUUUGAUCAUUUGCUGAACUGCGAUGCCAAGUGGGACAGUGGAAGAAAUGGAGCACUUGUCUCAGGGUGCCUCUGGAGUUGCCCAGAUGGAUAUAGAACAUAGUGGUAGUGGGUGAGCCGCGUUCAUGGGCUUGUGUAUCCAGCAUAUCACUGUGGCUGUGUCCUGUUAUAAAAGAUGCUGAAUUGUUAAUAUAAAAGGAUCCAAUUUAGUCAAAUAAACUUACCUAAAAUCUGGUGUUUCCAAUUGAAGUUAUUUAUUCUGUUAGUGGGGCUUGCCUCUGAGGUUCCUUCCUGACUUCCUUGAUUUUUCACCUCUAGAUUUCCCUCAGUUUGGUUUUUUGAUUCUCUUUCCACUUUCAUGUCUUGAACUGUUUUAUUAAUUUCUUUCUACUGUUUGUGUCUUUCAUAGAGUUAAGGAUUAAUUCCCUUUUUUAAAGACCUCUACCAUAUUCAUAAGUGCUAUUUUAAGGUCUUUUGUCUUGUGUUUCAGCUAUGUUGUAAUUCUCAGGGCCUACUGUGGUAGGUUGCUGGGCUCUAGUGGAGACAUUGUGUCCUGGCUGUUACUGAGUAUAUUUUUAUGAUGGCAUCUGGGUUUGGGAAGAGUGUAAUACAUGAUGUUGAUAUUCAUAA